This 503-nucleotide ribosomal RNA is filed under the name uncultured bacterium. Its description in RNAcentral is "partial 16S ribosomal RNA". It matches the Rfam family "Bacterial small subunit ribosomal RNA", at positions 30 to 523 of the family's 1533-position model. The record is from RNAcentral.
AUUGAACGCUGGCGGCAGGCCUAACACAUGCAAGUCGAACGGUAGCACAGAGAGCUUGCUCUCGGGUGACGAGUGCGGACGGGUGUGUAAUGUCUGGGAAACUGCCCGAUGGAGGGGGAUAACUACUGGAAACGGUAGCUAAUACCGCAUAACGUCGCAAGACCAAAGUGGGGGACCUUCGGGCCUCACACCAUCGGAUGUGCCCAGAUGGGAUUAGCUAGUAGGUGGGAUAAUGGCUCACCUAGGCGACGAUCCCUAGCUGGUCUGAGAGGAUGACCAGCCACACUGGAACUGAGACACGGUCCAGACUCCUACGGGAGGCAGCAGUGGGGAAUAUUGUACAAUGGGCGCAAGCCUGAUGCAGCCAUGCCGCGUGUAUGAAGAAGGCCUUCGGGUUGUAAAGUACUUUCAGCGGGGAGGAAGGCGGUGAAGUUAAUAGCUUCACCGAUUGACGUUACCCGCAGAAGAAGCACCGGCUAACUCCGUGCCAGCCGCCGCCGUAA